Molecule: transfer RNA, 74 nt
Filed under: uncultured archaeon
Lineage: Archaea
Description: tRNA-His(gtg)
Rfam family: tRNA
About the family: Transfer RNA (tRNA) molecules are approximately 80 nucleotides in length.
Source: RNAcentral
GGUUGGGGUCGUCCAGUAGUUAGGAUAGAAGACUGUGGAUCUUCUGACACGGGUGCGAUUCCCGUCCCCGACCU